GUGUCUAGUGUGAGGUGAGCUGGUGGAGUCUGAGGGAGAGGCAAGAGGCAGAAAAAUGUGUGGGAGGCUGGGUGAGGCUGUAGACACUGCCAGUCCACUAUGUCAAUCUCACAACGAGUGCUGGAGAAGGGUGGGAGUCUGAUGGAGCUUCCUAACAACGCAGUGCUCCAAGAAUCUACUAUUUUCUCUAGUGGACCAAGACAUUUAAAAAAAAAUGAACUCUUCAUUCUCAUCAAAAUAUGUAUAUUUGUGAAUUUCAACGUGUUGUUCAGAACCUGUGCAUGCCAAUAACUGUGUUUCUCAGUGCACUCUUGGCCUGAUGAAGCCCUCACAGACCCUCUCCCUCACCUGUUCCAUCUCUGCAUUCUCCACCACAACCAGUGCUUCCUGCUGGAGCUGGAUCCAUCAGUGCCCCAGGGAAGGGACUGGAGCGAAUCAGCUGAGCUACCUGAGCAAAGAGUACACAAGCAAGAAUUUUUAUGCCAAAGUCACAGCGAGGGAAAGACAUUGUGAGCCCAGACAAACCUCCCUGCAGGGGAAACUCAGGAGCAGCAGGAGACGCUCAGGACACCAGGGAGCGCUCAGGACACCAGGGGGCGCUCAGGACACCAGGGAGCGCUCAGGACACCAGGGGGCGCUCAGGACACCAGGAGGCGCUCAGGACACCAGGGGGCGCUCAGGACACAUCAAGGCAGGUGCAAUGGGGGGACAAGGUGCUGGAGAUGGGGUUUGGCAUCACCAUCAUAUUUCACCACUGGUCACCCAAUUUAUUCUCAUGUAUGUGAUUAUUUGUGUUAUUAGAAAGUGGAAUUUAUAUGAACAUAUAACCAUAUGUAGGUGCAUCGAGACGUCCUCUCCAUCUUAUGUGGACCUUUUCCUUGAAGACGCUGAGUCCCUGUAUUUAUUUGAGCACCUCACAAAUUAUGGUCAAUUAUGUAGGAUCUGUUUCACUUCUUUCUCACUUCUUCCCUCGUUUUCUCUCACUCACAAGCUCUCACACACACAAAAUUCUACAACUUCAAUUACCCGAUGUAUUGAAGACAAUUUAUUAUAGUGCAGCUUUUCUGGUUUAGCUGAUGUUCAUAUUGCUGUAAGAAUAGGAACGUUGUGUUUCUCAGCUGUGUAUUUCUCUAAGAUAGCAGCAACUUUAAAAAAAAUACCCAGGUACUGAAAACAAUCCAAAUAUCAAUCAGCAGCUUAAUCAUAAACAAACUGUGGUAAAUUCAUUCACUGGAAAAACACCCACUGUUACAAUCAGGUACUGCUGGAUAUGCUCAACAGCAAGGGUGAAUUCACAAGUACGUAUGAUGAGUCAAAUAAGACAAAUGAAUACAAGUACAUACAUACAAGUCCUCUUUUAUAAAUUCUAUAAAAUUAAUACUAAUCUAAAGUUACAUAAAGCAAACCAGUAGUAGACUCUGGGCAUGGGGUGAGAAGGGAAGGUGUAGGAACCAGAAAUUACAGGAAAACAAGAGGAAAUUUUGAGGGUAGUUGAGUUUUUCCUGUGUUGAGAAAGGUAAUGGUUAUGUCACUAUUUGUCAAAUUGUACACCUUAUGGGAGGUCUAUUAUUUGCUAAUUUCACCUCAUUAAAAUAUUCCAAAUUUAAACACACAUAAUUUGGUAGGAAAUAAGUUAGAGAUGAAUAAAAUAUAUGAGAAAUAAAAAAAGAAAAUCACAGAACAUUGGCAUAAGGACUUCACUCAUCAAAUUGAAGAAAUUUUAAAUUUCUCAACACAUAAUUAAAGAUUUAAUUAAAUAUAUAUAAGAAAUCAAAGACUCCUGGAUAUAAACAUGAAUAAACCCUAAGCCGACCUAUAUCUUUAGGGAAACACUAGAAUACG
Molecule: long non-coding RNA, 1842 nt
Filed under: Macaca mulatta (Rhesus monkey)
Lineage: Eukaryota; Metazoa; Chordata; Mammalia; Primates; Cercopithecidae
Description: lncRNA (ENSMMUG00000062943.1)
Source: RNAcentral